GUCUACGGCCAUGCUACCCUGAACACACCCGAUACUGUCUGAUCUCUGAAGCUAAGCCGGGUCAGCCUGGAUAGUACUUGGAUGGGAGACCACCUGAGACGAUCAGGUGCUGUAGGCG
RNAcentral lists this ribosomal RNA (118 nucleotides) under Pteropus vampyrus (large flying fox). The record is from RNAcentral. Lineage: Eukaryota; Metazoa; Chordata; Mammalia; Chiroptera; Pteropodidae.